RNAcentral lists this unclassified non-coding RNA (335 nucleotides) under soil metagenome. RNAcentral describes it as "partial contains 5.8S ribosomal RNA, internal transcribed spacer 2, and large subunit ribosomal RNA". The stretch from base 1 to 120 matches the Rfam family "5.8S ribosomal RNA", at positions 35 to 154 of the family's 154-position model. The record is from RNAcentral.
GAUGAAGAACGUAGCGAAAUGCGAUAAGUAAUGUGAAUUGCAGAAUUCAGUGAAUCAUCGAAUCUUUGAACGCACAUUGCGCCCGCCAGUAUUCUGGCGGGCAUGCCUGUUCGAGCGUCAUUUCAACCAUCAAGCCCCCGGGCUUGUGUUGGGGACCUGCGGCUGCCGCAGGCCCUGAAAACCAGUGGCGGGCUCGCUAGUCACUCCGAGCGUAGUAGUUACAUCUCGCUCAGGGCGUGCUGCGGGUUCCGGCCGUUAAAAGCCUUUUACCCCAAGGUUGACCUCGGACCAGGUAGGAAGACCCGCUGAACUUAAGCAUAUCAAUAAGCGGAGGA